UACGGAGGGCGCAAGCGUUGUUCGGAAUUACUGGGCGUAAAGCGCGUGUAGGUGGCCUGAAAAGUCGGGUGUGAAAUCCCGGAGCUCAACUCCGGAACUGCAUCCGAUACUGCCAGGCUCGAGUCUCGGAGAGGAUGGCGGAAUUUCCGGUGUAGAGGUGAAAUUCGUAGAUAUCGGAAGGAACACCAGUGGCGAAGGCGGCCGUCUGGACGAUGAGUGACAUUGAGACGCGAAAGCGUGGGGAGCAAACAGG
This 253-nucleotide ribosomal RNA is filed under the name uncultured bacterium. RNAcentral's name for it is "partial 16S ribosomal RNA". It matches the Rfam family "Bacterial small subunit ribosomal RNA", at positions 524 to 776 of the family's 1533-position model. The record is from RNAcentral.